Molecule: long non-coding RNA, 851 nt
Organism: Lotus japonicus
Lineage: Eukaryota; Viridiplantae; Streptophyta; Magnoliopsida; Fabales; Fabaceae
Exons: 5
Source: RefSeq, a predicted model, not a curated record
UCACGUUUCUGAAACCUCCUCUCCUCUUCGUUUUCCUUCAAUCUCUCUCAGCAAAACGUGGAUUGAAAUCUCUUCUCAUCUUCGUGUUCCUCUCAAUCGAAUCGAAGGCUUCAUCACUCUCAGAACCGCGAUCUCUUUCCAAAUGCAAGCUCACCCAGCCAUGGAUUGAAGGAAAUAGGGAUUUCAGAUUUGGAUCUUCAUCUGCAUUCUCAUAUCCGUCACAGCGACCUUGCUUCUUCUAUUGUCUCUGCCUUUCGAUGGGUUAUUAAGUAAAUAUGCAGCAGUUAAAGUGAAAUGUGUUGAUUGCAUUUGACAAAUUUUAACCAGAUACAAUCAUGUUUCCUUCUGUUUGGCAUUGCUGAGCGAUCUCUUCUCUCUUUCUUAUCUUGCAACAGAUACUGUAAGACUUCUAGCUUGGGCUGAGAAUCCAGUUGAUUUUGUGCAUACGCAUAGGAUGGUUCUGGAGAGUGAAUCAUGAUAUUUGUUUCAUUUUGACAGUGCAUACUACCACAAUUAAAAGCUGAUCAUGUACAUCAGAUCUUCAGUAUUCAGGCAGAGAAAAACCCUGGUCAAAGUCCAAAAGAAGAAGUCUGCCAAUCCCUGACCUCAAAGAGUAUAGAAGCAGCAUGACUACCAACCCCUCCAAGACCAAUGACCACAACAUAUGAUGCAGUUACUCUCUACUGAGACUCAAGCCAAGAAACUGAAUGUUCCUAUUCAUAGCAUAAAUAUUCCGCCAAAAAAAUGUUUGAUUAGCAGAAACCCAAGAAAAGAUAGAUACAUCAAUAAAAGAGUGACCCAUGUAUACCUAAAAGAAUUCAUUUCUUGAAUGAAAAUGCAGAACAAAUCUA